RNAcentral lists this unclassified non-coding RNA (32 nucleotides) under Psammechinus miliaris (sand urchin). The record is from RNAcentral. Lineage: Eukaryota; Metazoa; Echinodermata; Echinoidea; Camarodonta; Parechinidae.
UCUUUCAAGUUUCUCUAGAAGGGUCUCGCUUC